GACGAACGCUGGCGGCGUGCUUAACACAUGCAAGUCGAACGGAAAGGCCCUGCUUUUGUGGGGUGCUCGAGUGGCGAACGGGUGGGUAACACGUGAGUAACCUGCCCUUGACUUUGGGAUAACUUCAGGAAACUGGGGCUAAUACCGGAUCGGAGCUCCUGCUGCAUGGUGGGGGUUGGAAAGUUUCGGCGGUUGGGGAUGGACUCGCGGCUUAUCAGCUUGUUGGUGGGGUAGUGGCUUACCAAGGCUUUGACGGGUAGCCGGCCUGAGAGGGUGACCGGCCACAUUGGGACUGAGAUACGGCCCAGACUCCUACGGGAGGCAGCAGUGGGGAAUAUUGCACAAUGGGCGGAAGCCUGAUGCAGCAACGCCGCGUGCGGGAUGACGGCCUUCGGGUUGUAAACCGCUUUCGCCUGUGACGAAGCGUGAGUGACGGUAAUGGGUAAAGAAGCACCGGCUAACUACGUG
Molecule: ribosomal RNA, 468 nt
Filed under: uncultured bacterium
Lineage: Bacteria
Description: partial 16S ribosomal RNA
Rfam family: Bacterial small subunit ribosomal RNA
Source: RNAcentral